GCACCUGGAAAUCGAAUCCAGAGCAAAGCGCCAAUGUA
This 38-nucleotide small RNA is filed under the name Bombyx mori (domestic silkworm). RNAcentral's name for it is "ovarian small RNA-16338". The record is from RNAcentral. Lineage: Eukaryota; Metazoa; Arthropoda; Insecta; Lepidoptera; Bombycidae.